AGGCAAGUCCUAACGGCUCACAAAGUUUCCCAAUCAGGAAAAUGGCAAGUCAGAACCGAGCAGAAGUCCUGUUUACGAAGUGUCCUGCACAGUGUGGGCAUGGAACAGGUAGUGGAUAAAGGUCCCCUCCACACCAGCCCUGCCCCGGACAAGCUCUGAGAAAAAAGAAAACAGCCCCCAUGUUGUGAGCUAUGCUAUGGAGAGGCCCGCGUGGGGAAGAGGCUGGUGAGGAAUCCUGAGUCAGAGGCACCAAGGGGCACCCAGCUAAGGUGUGCCAGAUUCCUGACCAAUAGGCACGCCACAGAUCACGAAGAAGUGUAAGUGGUGGCAGUCUGAGGCCUGCCAGCAGCCAUCAAUGUCAAGGAGCCAGCUUGGAAACAGACCAUUCAGCCCCGGUCAGGCCUUCAACUGAUUGCAACCCUGGCUGACAUCUUGACUGCAAAAUCAUGAGCAACCUGGAGCCAGAAGCACCGAUUCAAGCUUCCUCUGAAUUCCU
This is a long non-coding RNA of Prionailurus viverrinus (fishing cat), 496 nucleotides long. RefSeq lists it as uncharacterized. The record is from RefSeq and is a predicted model, not a curated record. The transcript has 3 exons. Lineage: Eukaryota; Metazoa; Chordata; Mammalia; Carnivora; Felidae.